RNAcentral lists this long non-coding RNA (320 nucleotides) under Gossypium raimondii (Peruvian cotton). RNAcentral describes it as "long non-coding RNA (GRAI_LNC000034)". Lineage: Eukaryota; Viridiplantae; Streptophyta; Magnoliopsida; Malvales; Malvaceae. The record is from RNAcentral.
GUAAUUAAAACGAGGGAACCACUCCGAAUCCAUAAAUGUUAGUGCGAUCGGGUUCAAAGUCAGUGCGCUUGGCGAACCUACCUUUAAUCCUAGGCCGCAUUUCAGCGUAAGAUUUUCUAGAGGCGUAACGGAUUGUCUUCUCAAAUUUUCUCUUUUUUCUCUUCUCUUUGUACCUGAGAACUCUCGCUUCUCUUUCAGCUGAUGCAAGUUCAUGCAUUGACUCCGUCCUUCUCCCUUGCUGCUUUGAUAUCUCCCUCAUCAUCGCACUUCCAUCUGGGACCACUCCAACCUCCAAUGAUGAUGAUGCCUGCAUAUCAAAU